AUGGCCUGCCUGAGGUUCCCUCGACAAAAUGCAACUGUACGAGAGAUAAUUCAAGCCUGCGAAGCGUGCCAGCUGAUGAGGGCAGAGAAGAAGCAGCACUCGGGAACGAGGUCGACGGGAUUGGACCCUGGGUUCACUGCAAUCACGUGCGGCAAGCCACAUCGGAAGAACAGGAAAAAGCGCGAGCAGAAUGGAAGGCGAGUCCUCACCCGUCAAAUCCUUUGAAACUGAAACUCGUCCGCUGGGAGGCCUCCUAAUUCUCCUGCUGAUGGCAGCUCUCAUCGACCCAGGAGCGACCAGUCAUAACCCCCAUCAACCUGCUAAGAUCACAUGGAAACUCAACGACGGGCAAACUCAUGAGCUGCUCAAUGAGACCUCAGGAAUCCACCCUCCAAACACCUGGUGGCCGGACCUGAACUUCGACCUCUCAAGCCUCUUCGCAAAGCAGGAUGUUCUCUAUGAUAAGUACUAUAGAGAUGGGAUAAAAAACCAUAGGUUGGGGUUUUGGGCUUGCCCGGGCUAUGUAAAAAAUAACUGGAAAACCUGUGGUGGCAUAGAAAGCUAUUAUUGCAGGAGCUGGAGUUGUGUGACCUCUUGUGAUGGACCCCAGAGGUGGGAUGUCAGAAACAGAGAUCUAGUUAGCUUCACCUUCAAGGACCGUAGACACCAGGGGCCUCAGGUAACCUGGAGCCAGCCAAUCAAUAUGCGCCCAGUAAGAACAAAGGGAGAGCUGAAAAG
This is a long non-coding RNA of Dama dama (fallow deer), 738 nucleotides long. RefSeq lists it as uncharacterized. The record is from RefSeq and is a predicted model, not a curated record. NCBI's taxonomy places the organism in Eukaryota, Metazoa, Chordata, Mammalia, Artiodactyla, Cervidae. The transcript is spliced from 3 exons.